Molecule: ribosomal RNA, 515 nt
Filed under: uncultured bacterium
Lineage: Bacteria
Description: partial 16S ribosomal RNA
Rfam family: Bacterial small subunit ribosomal RNA
Source: RNAcentral
GAUGAACGCUGGCGGCGUGCCUAAUACAUGCAAGUCGAGCGAACUUCUUAAGAGCUUGCUCUUAAGAAGUUAGCGGCGGACGGGUGAGUAACACGUAGGUAACCUGCCCAUAAGACUGGGAUAACUCCGGGAAACCGGGGCUAAUACCGGAUAACAUUUUGCACCGCAUGGUGCGAAAUUGAAAGGCGGCUUCGGCUGUCACUUAUAGAUGGACCUGCGGCGCAUUAGCUAGUUGGUGAGGUAACGGCUCACCAAGGCGACGAUGCGUAGCCGACCUGAGAGGGUGAUCGGCCACACUGGGACUGAGACACGGCCCAGACUCCUACGGGAGGCAGCAGUAGGGAAUCUUCCGCAAUGGACGAAAGUCUGACGGAGCAACGCCGCGCGAGCGAUGAAGGCCUUCGGGUCGUAAAGCUCUGUUGUUAGGGAAGAACAAGUGCUAGUUGAAUAAGCUGGCACCUUAACGGUACCUAACCAGAAAGCCACGGCUAACUACGUGCCAGCAGCCGCGGUAA